Molecule: ribosomal RNA, 1171 nt
Filed under: Burkholderia ubonensis
Lineage: Bacteria; Pseudomonadati; Pseudomonadota; Betaproteobacteria; Burkholderiales; Burkholderiaceae
Description: bacterial LSU rRNA
Rfam family: Bacterial large subunit ribosomal RNA
Source: RNAcentral
GUUAUAGGGUCAAGCGAACAAGUGCAUGUGGUGGAUGCCUUGGCGAUCACAGGCGAUGAAGGACGCGGUAGCCUGCGAAAAGCUACGGGGAGCUGGCAAACAAGCUUUGAUCCGUAGAUGUCCGAAUGGGGAAACCCACUCCGUAUGGAGUAUCCAUGGCUGAAUACAUAGGCCAUGCGAAGCGAACGCGGUGAACUGAAACAUCUAAGUAACCGCAGGAAAAGAAAUCAACCGAGAUUCCCAAAGUAGUGGCGAGCGAAAUGGGAUGAGCCUUGUACUCUUUAUUUGUAUUGUUAGCCGAACGCUCUGGAAAGUGCGGCCAUAGCAGGUGAUAGCCCUGUAGGCGAAAACAGUAUGAAAGAACUAGGUGUACGACAAGUAGGGCGGGACACGUGAAAUCCUGUCUGAAGAUGGGGGGACCAUCCUCCAAGGCUAAAUACUCGUGAUCGACCGAUAGUGAACCAGUACCGUGAGGGAAAGGCGAAAAGAACCCCGGGAGGGGAGUGAAAUAGAUCCUGAAACCGCAUGCAUACAAACAGUCGGAGCCUCGCAAGGGGUGACGGCGUACCUUUUGUAUAAUGGGUCAGCGACUUACGUUCAGUAGCAAGCUUAACCGUAUAGGGCAGGCGUAGCGAAAGCGAGUCCGAAUAGGGCGUUCAGUUGCUGGGCGUAGACCCGAAACCAGGUGAUCUAUCCAUGGCCAGGAUGAAGGUGCGGUAACACGUACUGGAGGUCCGAACCCACUAACGUUGAAAAGUUAGGGGAUGAGCUGUGGAUAGGGGUGAAAGGCUAAACAAACCUGGAAAUAGCUGGUUCUCUCCGAAAACUAUUUAGGUAGUGCCUCGUGUCUCACCUUCGGGGGUAGAGCACUGUCAUGGUUGGGGGGUCUAUUGCAGAUUACCCCGCCAUAGCAAACUCCGAAUACCGAAGAGUGCAAUCACGGGAGACAGACAUCGGGUGCUAACGUCCGGUGUCAAGAGGGAAACAACCCAGACCGCCAGCUAAGGUCCCCAAAUAUGGCUAAGUGGGAAACGAAGUGGGAAGGCUAAAACAGUCAGGAGGUUGGCUUAGAAGCAGCCACCCUUUAAAGAAAGCGUAAUAGCUCACUGAUCGAGUCGUCCUGCGCGGAAGAUGUAACGGGGCUAAGCCAUAUACCGAAGCUGCGGAUGCG